CCUACGGGAGGCAGCAGUGAGGAAUAUUGGUCAAUGGACGAGAGUCUGAACCAGCCAAGUAGCGUGAAGGAUGACUGCCCUAUGGGUUGUAAACUUCUUUUAUAAAGGAAUAAACCUAGGCACGUGUGCCUUUUUGCAUGUACUUUAUGAAUAAGGAUCGGCUAACUCCGUGCCAGCAGCCGCGGUAAUACGGAGGAUCCGAGCGUUAUCCGGAUUUAUUGGGUUUAAAGGGAGCGUAGAUGGGUUGUUAAGUCAGUUGUGAAAGUUUGCGGCUCAACCGGAAAAUUGCAAUUGAUACUGGCAGUCUUGAGUACAGAUGAGGUAGGCGGAAUGCGUGGUGUAGCGGUGAAAUGCUUAGAGAUCACGAAGAACACCGAUUGCGAAGGCAGCUUACUAAGCUGUGACUGACAUUGAGGCUCGAAAGCGUGGGGAUCAAACAGGAUUAGAUACCCGGGUAGUC
Molecule: ribosomal RNA, 460 nt
Filed under: uncultured bacterium
Lineage: Bacteria
Description: partial 16S ribosomal RNA
Rfam family: Bacterial small subunit ribosomal RNA
Source: RNAcentral